RNAcentral lists this transfer RNA (78 nucleotides) under Coprothermobacter proteolyticus DSM 5265. RNAcentral describes it as "tRNA-Lys". It matches the Rfam family "tRNA". Rfam says of the family: Transfer RNA (tRNA) molecules are approximately 80 nucleotides in length. Their secondary structure includes four short double-helical elements and three loops (D, anti-codon, and T loops). Further hydrogen bonds mediate the characteristic L-shaped molecular structure. tRNAs have two regions of fundamental functional importance: the anti-codon, which is responsible for specific mRNA codon recognition, and the 3' end, to which the tRNAs corresponding amino acid is attached (by aminoacyl-tRNA synthetases). tRNAs cope with the degeneracy of the genetic code in two manners: having more than one tRNA (with a specific anti-codon) for a particular amino acid; and 'wobble' base-pairing, i.e. permitting non-standard base-pairing at the 3rd anti-codon position. The record is from RNAcentral. Lineage: Bacteria; Pseudomonadati; Coprothermobacterota; Coprothermobacteria; Coprothermobacterales; Coprothermobacteraceae.
UGGGCCGUUAGCUCAACAGGUAGAGCAACGGACUCUUAAUCCGUGGGUUGCAGGUUCGAGUCCUGUACGGCCCACCAA